UCCUCGUUUAAGCGAGGCAGUCUGUCCAGAGUGCUUCCAACUCUCGUUGGAGUGGCAACAGGACACAAGGGUUGCGCUCGUUGCGGGACUUAACCCAACAUCUCACGACACGAGCUGACGACAGCCAUGCAGCACCUGUGCACGCUUCCCUUGCGGGAUCGUUACCCUUUCAGGCUCCUACCACGUGCAUGUCAAGGCCAGGUAAGGUUCUUCGCGUUGCAUCGAAUUAAGCCACAUACUCCACCGCUUGUGCAGGCCCCCGUCAAUUUCUUUGAGUUUCAGCCUUGCGACCGUACUCCCCAGGCGGCAUACUUAACGCGUUAGCUCCGGCACGAACGAAAUGAAUCGCUCACACCAAGUAUGCAUCGUUUAGGGCGUGGACUAC
This 385-nucleotide unclassified non-coding RNA is filed under the name uncultured Verrucomicrobiae bacterium. Its description in RNAcentral is "contains 16S-23S intergenic spacer region". The record is from RNAcentral. Lineage: Bacteria; Pseudomonadati; Verrucomicrobiota; Verrucomicrobiia.